Molecule: transfer RNA, 22 nt
Filed under: Phrynosoma cornutum
Lineage: Eukaryota; Metazoa; Chordata; Lepidosauria; Squamata; Phrynosomatidae
Description: partial tRNA-Gln
Source: RNAcentral
GGUUCAAGUCCUGUUUUUCUAA